Molecule: ribosomal RNA, 435 nt
Filed under: uncultured Ruminococcus sp.
Lineage: Bacteria; Bacillati; Bacillota; Clostridia; Eubacteriales; Oscillospiraceae
Also listed under: 1 other name
Description: partial 16S ribosomal RNA
Rfam family: Bacterial small subunit ribosomal RNA
Source: RNAcentral
ACGGGAGGCAGCAGUGGGGAAUAUUGCGCAAUGGGGGCAACCCUGACGCAGCAACGCCGCGUGAAGGAUGAAGGUUUUCGGAUUGUAAACUUCUUUUAUUAAGGACGAACAAUGACGGUACUUAAUGAAUAAGCUCCGGCUAACUACGUGCCAGCAGCCGCGGUAAUACGUAGGGAGCAAGCGUUAUCCGGAUUUACUGGGUGUAAAGGGUGCGUAGGCGGCUUGGUAAGUCAGAUGUGAAAUGUAUGGGCUCAACUCAUGCACUGCAUUUGAAACUAUCGAGCUUGAGUGAAGUAGAGGUAGGCGGAAUUCCCUGUGUAGCGGUGAAAUGCGUAGAGAUAGGGAGGAACACCAGUGGCGAAGGCGGCCUACUGGGCUUUAACUGACGCUGAGGCACGAAAGCGUGGGUAGCAAACAGGAUUAGAUACCCUGGUA